Molecule: long non-coding RNA, 1653 nt
Organism: Drosophila mojavensis
Lineage: Eukaryota; Metazoa; Arthropoda; Insecta; Diptera; Drosophilidae
Exons: 3
Source: RefSeq, a predicted model, not a curated record
ACUGAUGUCUUUGCUACUUGACUAAUUGUUGUUGCUUCUACAGUAACUAUUGUCGCUUUUGCUAUUGUCAUUAUGUACAGCUACUUCUUCUACUACCGUUUUGUUGCCAAAUAGAAAUUAUUCGCACUUGACGUUAUUUUCUAAAUUAAAUUAAUUCGCACAUACGCAAUAAUAAUAUACAAACACACAUACAGAUAUACACAUGUAUGUAUGCAUUUGUGUUUGUGUAAGAUCGGAACAGCAAUUGUCUUCCCAACAAAGAGUCAAUUUGCCGAUCUCUCUUACAGCCAUGCCAUGCAUACACACAUACAUAUGCACAUAUACAGAGAACAAAGUCGUUGCCCAACACCACAGACCGCGACAUCCCGAUGGCGGCUAUUACGAAAUAAACGGAGAAUAAGAAUAUAAUGCGCAGCAAGGCAAUGAACAUGAAUGCACGCGCAGAGACAGGGGGCGAGAGAGAGAGAGAGAGCAGCACAGGAACCCACACACCCAGGCACAUGUGCAAAUAAACAUGCACACACAAAUGUAUGUAGGUACAUACAUUAAUUUCUGCAUGUAUAAACUGUUUGUAUAUGUAUGUGUUUGUAUAAUUUAAGUGUUUAUACACAUGUACAUAUGCAUGUAUUUACCAACACUAGCACAACAAAGCAGAACAACGUAUUAUCCCUUUUAUAGAAGAAAAUGCCAGCGGCGCAGCCAGCGUUCUUUCAACAAAAAUUCUUGAGAAAUGCUAAAUUUAGAGCGCCAACAACAACAGAUGCCGGGCAAGGGAGACCCCAAUCCACAAUCCCCAAUCCUCAAUCCCCAAUGACCAGUUGCAGCCGCAUUUGCAGUCACAGCCCGCAUCAAACACAAAAACAAUUUGCGCAGUUGCCCAGCCUGAGCAAUGCCAAUAUCAACAAAAACAACAACAACAACGAGUGUAACCAUCCAAAUCUGAAAAGACCAAAAGUUGAACUUUCCAUCCAAUAAGAGUUGGGUACGCCGACGACGGAAGCAUCAGGUUGUGGUAUGAGCGCGGUUCAUCAGACGGCGACGCGGCCAGUGUCCUCUAUAUAGCUUUGUAACUCUCAGAGCCGACGAACCCUGCCACGUCACGAACGCCAAAAUACUUCGAGAAUUUCAUUUGGUCGUUGACUCAAUAGAUGCAAUAAUAGCAUGAAAUUACACGCCAGCUCAAGGAGGGUUGGUCACCUAUGCAACUUAUGGAAACUAUCUCAAAAUGUGAUGCGAUUUUUAUGAAUUAUUAUAUAUAACUUUGUAUGGUUGUAUGUACAUAUUUAUUAUCUAAUAUAUAUAUAUUUAUAUCAAUUUAUAGCUCAGUUUUCAGGGAUUUUAAAGAAGACACUUCCAGAAGCUUCUUAGCUUUUUGGGAAAGUGAAACCUUGUAUAGUAGCCAUUGAUGCUUCUCGAAGCUUCCGCCAAAUCCCCAUAAAGCUAGCCCAUAGCUGAGGUAAACAAAACAUUGUGUUAGUACCAGUUCUAGUGUUGCCCAACAUAAACUCUAUAUUUUGAAAAUAUAAGUUGAAACGAUGUACAUACACAUGUUAUAAGUCGCAAUGUUGUGCUAUAUGUUAUAAGUCAAUCUACAGCUUGUCUGUCCCUGCUGCUAUAUUUAUAUUUGAAUUUAUUUCUUAUUAAAGUUUAAGU